Esox lucius (northern pike) is the source of this 388-nucleotide long non-coding RNA. The record is from Ensembl. NCBI's taxonomy places the organism in Eukaryota, Metazoa, Chordata, Actinopteri, Esociformes, Esocidae.
GUUCUUAAUAAUGGGUAUUUCUUCAGGACAUUGUUAACAGCCAACAGCUUCUGCAAUUUCCAGAUGCCUCAGAGGAAAUGUUUGAUUCAAUCGUUCCUUAACAGUCAGGAUGUCAGGUGGUGUAUUGCUGUAUUGGUUGUGCAGAACCUUCACAUGGACAUUGACAGGGGUUGAAUCCUCCCCAACAAAUUACAGACACAAGCUAGACGAGUCAUCCCUGUACAGCAACCCUAAAUAAAUAACUAUAUCAUGUCUGUAGGUCCUGAUGCCCACCCAGUCAACCCAUGGAGUCCUGAUGCCCACCCAGUCAACCCAUGGAGUCCUGAUGCCCACCCAGUCAACCCAUGGAGUCCUGAUGCCCACCCAGUCAACCCAUGGAGUCCUGAUG